This 66-nucleotide ribosomal RNA is filed under the name Geobacillus stearothermophilus ATCC 12980. RNAcentral describes it as "partial 23S ribosomal RNA". The record is from RNAcentral. Lineage: Bacteria; Bacillati; Bacillota; Bacilli; Caryophanales; Anoxybacillaceae.
CCGAGGUGGAAGCGUGGCGACACGUGGAGCUGACGGAUACUAAUCGAUCGAGGGCUUGACCUAUAA